Molecule: ribosomal RNA, 497 nt
Filed under: uncultured bacterium
Lineage: Bacteria
Description: partial 16S ribosomal RNA
Rfam family: Bacterial small subunit ribosomal RNA
Source: RNAcentral
GAUGAACGCUGGCGGCGUGCCUAAUACAUGCAAGUCGAGCGAACAGACGAGGAGCUUGCUCCUCUGACGUUAGCGGCGGACGGGUGAGUAACACGUGGAUAACCUACCUAUAAGACUGGGAUAACUUCGGGAAACCGGAGCUAAUACCGGAUAAUAUAUUGAACCGCAUGGUUCAAUAGUGAAAGACGGUUUUGCUGUCACUUAUAGAUGGAUCCGCGCCGCAUUAGCUAGUUGGUAAGGUAACGGCUUACCAAGGCAACGAUGCGUAGCCGACCUGAGAGGGUGAUCGGCCACACUGGAACUGAGACACGGUACAGACUCCUACGGGAGGCAGCAGUAGGGAAUCUUCCGCAAUGGGCGAAAGCUUGACGGGGCAACGCCGCGUGAGUGAUGAAGGUCUUCGGAUCGUAAAACUCUGUUAUUAGGGAAGAACAAAUGUGUAAGUAACUAUGCACGUCUUGACGGUACCUAAUCAGAAAGCCACGGCUAACUACGUG